ACCAAAAAUUGUGUCAAAGUGUGUAGUUAAACAAUACAAAAGAUUCGCAAAUUGUGAACUCCAAUAACAGGAAACUGUUUGUGUUUUCAGACAGCCAUGGUCGUGGACUUGCGAGUAAACUAAAAGAAACAACUAAAACAUUUUCGUGUGGUAUAGUGAAACCAGGAGCCCCACUUAGUGAAAAUAAAAAAUGACCGAAUCCGCAGAGGCAAAAAAUCUGCAUGAUAAAGACUUCGUUGUACUUCCGGGAGGCGCAAACGACAUCUACAAAAAUGAAACAGCGAGUGCAACGCGUGAUCUUAAACAGUGAGGAACCUCACUCAAACUAACGUAAUACUUGUCAAUAUUCCGCAUCGCUAUGAACUUGUAAGAUGGUCAUGUGUUAACAGGGAAAUAGAAAGUGCCAACAGUCAGUUUUCAAAAAUCUGCAGACAUUUUAAAAACGUGAAAUGCGUUGAUAUAAGCAGUAUUGGACGUAGAUUCUACACGCAACACUGACUUCACCUGAAUGGCUUGGGGAAAGAAUAUCUGACAAGCCUGAUAACCAGGGUAAUAAAAACCAAAACAAUAAUUGCAUCGCCAUCACCUGACUUCAUAAUGAAAACGCUUCAAAAAAAAUCAUUAGAAACAGCAGCAGCAGCAGCAAAACAUGUAAAAAAAGACCAAAUUUUAACAGAAAGAACAGUAGACAUCGAUUUCAACAACAAAAGAACUACUGUUCCUCAUCAGCCAAGUAUUAUUUUAGACGAAAAUAACAAAAAACGAGAAGACUCAAAGUUCACAAGGAAACACAGCAGUCGUGGUAGAACCAACAUUUGAAGUCUCAGAAACAUCAUCACCAUCAACAACAACAAAUAGAAGGCUGUUGGACAGAAGAAAUGCUGAGCCUCCUUGUCAUUUCAAGGAUUUUUUGUAUGUGGGCCUGAAGAAAAAGAAGGGACAACAGUAGGUAGUGUCAGGUGUCUCCUCUCUCCAGUCUCAAGACAGACUCCAAUGGAUUCUCAGUCAGGCAAAUUCUGUAUUGGGGCAGUACUUGGUUCUUGGGAGGAAUAAGGAGAAUUUUGUUGGUUGGAUGAAGACAACAGCUGGUGCAAAUCAGAAACAGGCUAAUGAUUGUUACCGUUGUCUCUCAGAGUGGAGUGAUCAGUUUUUGUGAAAUGCUGGAACAGAACUAAAAAUAGAGUUUUCAAGCUAUGUAUGUGUUUUACAAAUUAAAUAGCUUUAUUGUA
Schistocerca americana (American grasshopper) is the source of this 1229-nucleotide long non-coding RNA. RefSeq lists it as uncharacterized. NCBI's taxonomy places the organism in Eukaryota, Metazoa, Arthropoda, Insecta, Orthoptera, Acrididae. The record is from RefSeq and is a predicted model, not a curated record. The transcript is spliced from 2 exons.